GACGAACGCUGGCGGCGUGCUUAACACAUGCAAGUCAGGGGGUGGGGUAACCCAUCACCGGCGAACGGGUGCGUAACACGUGAGCGACCUGCCCUUGAGUGGGGGAUAGCCGGCCCAACGGCCGGGUAAUACCGCAUACGACUGUGCUGGGGCAUCCUAGCGCGGUGAAGCCUUCGGGGCUCAGGGAGGGGCUCGCGGCCUAUCAGCUAGUUGGCGAGGUAACGGCUCACCAAGGCGANGACGGGUAGCUGGUCUGAGAGGAUGGCCAGCCACAUUGGGACUGAGAGACGGCCCAGACUCCUACGGGAGGCAGCAGUGGGGAAUCUUGCGCAAUGGCCGAAAGGCUGACGCAGCGACGCCGCGUGAGGGAUGACGGCC
RNAcentral lists this ribosomal RNA (378 nucleotides) under uncultured bacterium. RNAcentral describes it as "bacterial SSU rRNA". It matches the Rfam family "Bacterial small subunit ribosomal RNA", at positions 28 to 416 of the family's 1533-position model. The record is from RNAcentral.